Molecule: ribosomal RNA, 1400 nt
Filed under: Salmonella enterica subsp. enterica serovar Paratyphi B var. L(+) tartrate +
Lineage: Bacteria; Pseudomonadati; Pseudomonadota; Gammaproteobacteria; Enterobacterales; Enterobacteriaceae
Description: partial 23S ribosomal RNA
Rfam family: Bacterial large subunit ribosomal RNA
Source: RNAcentral
CGGCGAUACCCGAAUGGGGAAACCCAGUGUGAUUCGUCACACUAUCAUUAACUGAAUCCAUAGGUUAAUGAGGCGAACCGGGGGAACUGAAACAUCUAAGUACCCCGAGGAAAAGAAAUCAACCGAGAUUCCCCCAGUAGCGGCGAGCGAACGGGGAGGAGCCCAGAGCCUGAAUCAGCAUGUGUGUUAGUGGAAGCGUCUGGAAAGGCGCGCGAUACAGGGUGACAGCCCCGUACACAAAAGCGCAUGUGUUGUGAGCUCGAUGAGUAGGGCGGGACACGUGGUAUCCUGUCUGAAUAUGGGGGGACCAUCCUCCAAGGCUAAAUACUCCUGACUGACCGAUAGUGAACCAGUACCGUGAGGGAAAGGCGAAAAGAACCCCGGCGAGGGGAGUGAAAAAGAACCUGAAACCGUGUACGUACAAGCAGUGGGAGCACAGGUUUACCUGUGUGACUGCGUACCUUUUGUAUAAUGGGUCAGCGACUUAUAUUCUGUAGCAAGGUUAACCGAAUAGGGGAGCCGGAGGGAAACCGAGUCUUAAUUGGGCGUUAAGUUGCAGGGUAUAGACCCGAAACCCGGUGAUCUAGCCAUGGGCAGGUUGAAGGUUGGGUAACACUAACUGGAGGACCGAACCGACUAAUGUUGAAAAAUUAGCGGAUGACCUGUGGCUGGGGGUGAAAGGCCAAUCAAACCGGGAGAUAGCUGGUUCUCCCCGAAAGCUAUUUAGGUAGCGCCUCGUGAAUUCAUCUCCGGGGGUAGAGCACUGUUUCGGCUAGGGGGCCAUCCCGGCUUACCAACCCGAUGCAAACUGCGAAUACCGGAGAAUGUUAUCACGGGAGACACACGGCGGGUGCUAACGUCCGUCGUGAAGAGGGAAACAACCCAGACCGCCAGCUAAGGUCCCAAAGUCAUGGUUAAGUGGGAAACGAUGUGGGAAGGCCCAGACAGCCAGGAUGUUGGCUUAGAAGCAGCCAUCAUUUAAAGAAAGCGUAAUAGCUCACUGGUCGAGUCGGCCUGCGCGGAAGAUGUAACGGGGCUAAACCAUGCACCGAAGCUGCGGCAGCGACGCUUAUGCGUUGUUGGGUAGGGGAGCGUUCUGUAAGCCUGUGAAGGUGUGUCGUGAGGCAUGCUGGAGGUAUCAGAAGUGCGAAUGCUGACAUAAGUAACGAUAAAGCGGGUGAAAAGCCCGCUCGCCGGAAGACCAAGGGUUCCUGUCCAACGUUAAUCGGGGCAGGGUGAGUCGACCCCUAAGGCGAGGCCGAAAGGCGUAGUCGAUGGGAAACGGGUUAAUAUUCCCGUACUUGGUGUUACUGCGAAGGGGGGACGGAGAAGGCUAUGUUGGCCGGGCGACGGUUGUCCCGGUUUAAGCGUGUAGGUGUGUGUUCCAGGUAAAUCCGGUU